This 1352-nucleotide long non-coding RNA is filed under the name Solanum pimpinellifolium. Its description in RNAcentral is "long non-coding RNA (SPIM_LNC000149)". The record is from RNAcentral. Lineage: Eukaryota; Viridiplantae; Streptophyta; Magnoliopsida; Solanales; Solanaceae.
CCAUCCUCACGAGGCAAUGGUGAUAUGCUUUCAUCUAGUUUCCUACAAAAUUUAUCCUCCACGAUGUCAUAGGAAUUUCCAGUCCUUACUUCCUGAGCAAGAGAGCACCAACAACAGAAAAGCCAUAGUGCACAGUCAGCAACAGAAGGUUUACCACAACAAGUAUUGUAAGGAGGCAAAUUGUAUCUUUUUCUCAUCUGAAUCCUCCAAAAGCCACCAUAUAGUAACCCAAACAGACAAAGAAAAAUCCCAGUAACUCCUAAUAUCCCCCUGACAGUAUCACUGUCAAUAUUAACAGCAGCCAAAUUGAAGAUCCAGAAUGGAGCCAUACAGAACAGAAGAAAAGUUGCAAUAUGAACAUACAUAUUUCCAAACCCAAGUCUCUCCAUAUUCCAACCAAAAACACAAAAACUGCAGAACAAAGAAAGAUAUGCCAACGAAAUAUCAUCCCAAAAAUCAAGAAUGCCUCCACUCCAUUGUGGUCUAGUUUCAACAAGUCUCCCUUCAUCUGAUGCAAAAGAAAAUCUCUUUUCCAAUGAUUUUCUUCUCAGUUGGCUAGACCUGCUGCUCUCAGCAGCUAUUGUUUGAAGUUGUGCUUCCUCGUCUAACUCAGUAUCAUAAUCUUUUCCUAAAGGGCUGAGCAUACAGUAAACUCCAGCAAUGGCAGGUGCACCAAUUGCAACUGAGAUACAUAGUCCUACACCGAUAGCUGGUCUUUCCGACCUCUUGUAACCCAAAUUAAGCCCACAAAGAGCAUAUUGAGCAAAACAGUUGAGAUUAAGUAAUGCAACAACCACCAUCAUGUGUGUCCAUUCAUGGGGCUUAUAAGUUCCAUGUUUACAGUAAACCUUUCUCAGCUUGGAAAUAUCUUCUGGUCUCCAUCGGAUUAAAAGAAUAAAGUGAUAUAGCCUUUGUGGGUGCUGGUACAGACACAUGAGAGUAAACAGUGCGUUAAGGAUUUGGUUAUUCACUUCAAACCAUGUAUCUCUCUGAGAUUUCUUAGGGAUGGCAUGGUUCAACAUCCCGGUCAUCACAAGAAACAAAAUUGCACCAGAAACAGCUACACAUACANAUGGUGAUAUGCUUUCAUCUAGUUUCCUACAAAAUUUAUCCUCCACGAUGUCAUAGGAAUUUCCAGUCCUUACUUCCUGAGCAAGAGAGCACCAACAACAGAAAAGCCAUAGUGCACAGUCAGCAACAGAAGGUUUACCACAACAAGUAUUGUAAGGAGGCAAAUUGUAUCUUUUUCUCAUCUGAAUCCUCCAAAAGCCACCAUAUAGUAACCCAAACAGACAAAGAAAAAUCCCAGUAACUCCUAAUAUCCCCCUGACAGUAUCACUGUCAAUAUUAAC